GUGCACCGACCCCCAUAGCCACAACCACCGCCAAUACCCAUAUCAUCCACGACCCAUUUGGCGUAACUGCCACAAUAUUGCAUAGCACGAAGAUCUUGAAUGAAGUUUGCCUGCCUAAUAAGGCUUCUCCAGUGACUUGGUUAGAACCUCCAGGAGGGUUUAUGCCAGCAGCUAAUGUGACAGUUGAUACUAAAACAGCCACAACAGUGAUUGUUUUGCGUGCAUUACGUACACCUUCGUCCUGGAGCAAUUUUUUUUUGGGAAAGAUGGUGACUUUGGCUGCGAUGAUGAGUCAUUGAAGAUGCUGGCAUUUUCUCUUGUAAUUGGAUUUCUGGUGAAGGUAAUGGCAACACAUGGCUGUGCUUCCCACCUACUUCUAGUAAUAGGAACAAACUCGAAAGAGUACUAGAACUCUCAGUGGACUCAAGUAGGUCCAGAGCAAUCUAUUUGUCGUGGUUUAUCGCAUUUACAUCUACGCCAAGCUUCAACAGGUACAUAAUCAUAUUAGUUAGUUUUCCAGUAACCGCAAGAUGCAAAAUUGUAUUACCAUUGUUGUCAGGCUUAUUAAGUAGAUCUGUAAUGUUGAUUGCCUCUGUGAGGAAUUUAACAGCUUCAUAUUGCUUGUUUUUCACUGCUAGAUGAACUGUUUCUCCAUGCUUAGUUGUCAUCUGGGCACCUUCAAGAUUCACCAAAAGGAUCUCCUCAAUGACAUUUAUUCUCCCCCUGAUUGCAGCCCAAUGGAGGGGCUUUCGGUCAUUGGCGUCUUUCAAGGAAGAGAGGUCGGUGUCAGGCCUCAAUGAGCCCUGGUUAUUUCAAGGUGGCCUUUGCUGCAAGAUAGGUGCAAAGGUGUGUAUCCAUGGAAGUCCCCUUUAAAUGCAAAGUCUGGGUGUAUCUUCAAGAUUUCCCUCACAGAGUCGGCAAGUAACCCGAUUUUGGUCAUAUCCAUGGAAGAAAAUAUUCCUCGAUUAAGUUCAACUACUGAAAGGCAUAAUUUAUUUUUUACAUAAUUUACCAAACAGGAACUAUAGGACCACCACUACAAACAUUUGGUUAUAAUAAUUUUAGUCUUAAUUUUAUCAAUAAUCACAAAAUUUGUAGCUUGAUUCAUUGUAGUCAAUGACUUUUAACCUCUUGUUUGAACAAUGUAUUCCACCAAACACCUCAACCACCUGCAGGAAAACCUGGGACAACCCACUAGCUACUCUGCCAUUGAAACAAAUCCUCCCAUUGAAGCCCUUAGCAGUUGGCAGCCACAACAUAACAGAUCGAAAAUUGUACUACCCAAAGCUAAAAGGACGUAAAACCCAUAUGAGGGAAGUGAGUUUUACUUAGACUCUUUGAAUUGCAUUUAAUUCCACUACAAUUUUUUUGCGAUGGAAAUUGGCUAGUUAAUCUCUCUAAAGUAGUAGCAGUAGUAGUAGAAUUACCUGUAUGCCCUGUUGAAGCUGCAUCAACUUCUAAUUCAAACAGAUCACAUUUUAAGAGAUACUUCACCACAUCAAGCAUCCCUCUUUCACAAGCCAGAAAGAGAACUUUCAAUUUCUCUAUUCACCAUGUAAACCACCCAAGGAUCCAUCUCCACCAAGAACUUCACCAUCUCCAAACUUCCUUGUCUGCAGGCCUCAUGCAAUGGGGUCUCCAUCUUCUCAUUCACUGCAGCCACCAUCUCCGGCCUCAGCUUCACAAUCUCAUUGGCCCCACCCUCCCAAAUGGAGCUGCAAAGUGGAAAAUGGUGUUCAUGAACCCUUGAAUGGUUUGGUUAAUGAUGCUUUCAUUUUCUUGAAUGAUUGCAUGAAAAGCAAGUGUAUCUCCUUUUAUGAUGGUUUCACAGAGCCGUUGGUCCAUUACUGGUUGGUUGACAGGCGCUGGAGUUGCAGGGAUGACCU
RNAcentral lists this unclassified non-coding RNA (1886 nucleotides) under Hevea brasiliensis (rubber tree). Lineage: Eukaryota; Viridiplantae; Streptophyta; Magnoliopsida; Malpighiales; Euphorbiaceae. The record is from RNAcentral.